UCGCCCGCCNCGCCCCGCGCCCGUCCCGCCGCCCCCGCCCGCCUACGGGAGGCAGCAGUGGGGAAUNUUGCGCAAUGGGGGNAACCCUGACGCAGCGAUACCGCGUGAGUGANNGAAGGNCUUCGGGUUGUAAAGCUCUUUCAGUAGGGAAGAUAGUGACGGUACCUACAGAAGAAGCUCCGGCUAACUCCGUGCCAGCAGCCGCGGUAAUACGGAGGGNGCGAGCGUUGUUCGGAAUUACUGGGCGUAAAGGGCGCGCAGGCUGUUUGNCAAGUCAGAAGUGAAAUCCCCGGGCUCAACCCGGGAACUGCUUUUGAAACUAGCAGACUAGAGACCGGNAGAGGAUGGCGGAAUUCCCCGUGUAGAGGUGAAAUUCGUAGAUAUGGGGAGGAACACCAGAGGCGAAGGCGGCNAUCUGGACCGGUACUGACGCUGAGGCNCGAAAGCGUGGGGAGCAAACAGGAUUAGAUACCCUGGUAGUCCACGCUGUAAACGAUGAGUGCUNGUAGUCGCNGGGUAUCGACCNCNGC
Molecule: ribosomal RNA, 530 nt
Filed under: uncultured bacterium
Lineage: Bacteria
Description: partial 16S ribosomal RNA
Rfam family: Bacterial small subunit ribosomal RNA
Source: RNAcentral